GUUGGAAACCAAUGCCCUAAAGGCACCAGAUCCUGUUUGAUCUUGGAAAGCUAAGUAGGGUCAAACCUGGUUACUAUUUGGAUGGAAGACUGCCAAUAAAUACUGGGUGUUGUAGGCU
RNAcentral lists this ribosomal RNA (118 nucleotides) under Anolis carolinensis (green anole). The record is from RNAcentral. Lineage: Eukaryota; Metazoa; Chordata; Lepidosauria; Squamata; Anolidae.